AUUUAAAUAAUUUAAUAAUAAAAUAUUGAUUUGUGGAGUCAAAAAUAUGAAAUUUCAUUUUAAAUC
Molecule: transfer RNA, 66 nt
Filed under: Papilio glaucus (eastern tiger swallowtail)
Lineage: Eukaryota; Metazoa; Arthropoda; Insecta; Lepidoptera; Papilionidae
Description: tRNA-His
Source: RNAcentral